Molecule: long non-coding RNA, 272 nt
Filed under: Mytilus galloprovincialis (Mediterranean mussel)
Lineage: Eukaryota; Metazoa; Mollusca; Bivalvia; Mytilida; Mytilidae
Source: RNAcentral
CUCAUUGGCAAUCAUACCACAUCUUUUUUUUAUGCAAGCGCUAACACGGUGAUUUCAUCCCUUCGAACCAAGAUCCAUCUUCAAACAUACGGACAUAAAGCAGUUAAAAGGUAGAACGUAUAAAAAUCAAAUAAGGAACAAAUGAGUAUCGAACAUAAAGUAAAAGGAUCGGUUGAGCACAAACACAUAUAAAUAGGUCAUAAAAAGAUCAUUUUACCUCAACAAAUUUAGAACUAUUACCAGAUAUAAGAGUAUAAACAAUUAAAAAGGGG